This 446-nucleotide ribosomal RNA is filed under the name uncultured bacterium. RNAcentral's name for it is "partial 16S ribosomal RNA". It matches the Rfam family "Bacterial small subunit ribosomal RNA", at positions 331 to 793 of the family's 1533-position model. The record is from RNAcentral.
CCAGACUCCUACGGGAGGCAGCAGUGGGGGAUAUUGCACAAUGGGGGGAACCCUGAUGCAGCGACGCCGCGUGGGUGAAGGAGUAUUUCGGUAUGUAAAGCCCUAUCGGCAGGGAAGAAGAAAGACGGUACCUGACUAAGAAGCCCCGGCUAACUACGUGCCAGCAGCCGCGGUAAUACGUAGGGGGCGAGCGUUAUCCGGAUUCACUGGGUGUAAAGGGAGCGUAGACGGCCAAGCAAGCCAGGGGUGAAAGCCCGGGGCCCAACCCCGGGACUGCUUUGGAAACUGUAUAGCUGGAGUGCAGGAGAGGUAAGUGGAAUUCCUAGUGUAGCGGUGAAAUGCGUAGAUAUUAGGAGGAACACCAGUGGCGAAGGCGGCUUACUGGACUGUAACUGACGUUGAGGCUCGAAAGCGUGGGGAGCAAACAGGAUUAGAUACCCCAGUAA